Long non-coding RNA from Helicoverpa zea (corn earworm), 919 nucleotides. RefSeq lists it as uncharacterized. The record is from RefSeq and is a predicted model, not a curated record. Lineage: Eukaryota; Metazoa; Arthropoda; Insecta; Lepidoptera; Noctuidae. The transcript is spliced from 2 exons.
AGUGCGGCGCGGGCAGCUCAGCGGUGUGUACGUUUGGAGUUGUCGACAGCCGGUGUCUCACAGACAUGGCGACUCAAAGCACAGAUAGUAGGCCACCAAAACGAGACAGCAGUGGAAGAUAUACAAAUGAUGAUGAGCAGAUUGAGGAUUGGCUUAAUGAAUUAGAAGAACACGAGUUUAGCGACUUUGAUGAUUCGGUAGAAGACCCUAAUUAUGUGGAAGAAAAUGUACAGCAAGAGGAAAACGAAGAUCUCGAGGAACAGAAUACAAUCGAGUGAGAGUGAUUUUAACUCUGAAGACGAGGAGCCCCUUAGCUCUUUAGUUUGUGGUGACCAGGAUGGUUCAAACUACAUUGUAAAAACGGAUUUCUAUGGUCUAAGAAGGUCUUGUCCAGGCAUCAAGCUACCAAGCUGCGAAGAGGAGACUUUUUACUAUCUUUGGCAAGAGAAUUGGUUCUUCCUGGCUUAAACGAACGCGUUUAUAAUGACAGAUUGCCCAGACAACUCCGUCUUCCUAUAACGCGAGUUUUAGGUAAUGAUUUGCCUCCCCCUCCACCCGUGGCUCAGCUACCAGGUCCUGCAGGAAGGAAACUAUGCAGCAUAUGCCCCAGUAGAUUGAAGAGGUAAACAAGGUACCACUGUUGCGCAUGCAAAAUGCCAAUUUGUCUACAAUGUUCUUCUCCACUAUGUCAAGACUGUAAACUUACGCUUUAGAUCUAAGGUUAACUUUGAGACUGAUUUGUGCCUAAUUGAACCGUGAUAUCUUGUUGAUUUAUUUUAGAGCUAUAAGAUAAUGCUUAAAAGAUUAAUGAACAGUUUUAUAGAAGUUUUAUAAUUUCGUUUUUUUUUUUAAAUAGUUUUGUAAGUUUAAGCGUAAAAAUACUGAAAAUACUGAUCUCAAUAAAUGAUUCCAUCCUAAA